RNAcentral lists this ribosomal RNA (400 nucleotides) under uncultured bacterium. Its description in RNAcentral is "bacterial SSU rRNA". It matches the Rfam family "Bacterial small subunit ribosomal RNA", at positions 358 to 773 of the family's 1533-position model. The record is from RNAcentral.
GGAAUUUUGGGCAAUGGGGGCAACCCUGACCCAGCAACGCCGCGUGGAGGACGAAGGUUUUCGGAUCGUAAACUCCUGUCCCGAGGGAAGAAGAAGUGACGGUACCUUGGGAGGAAGACCCGGCUAACUCCGUGCCCGCAGCCGCGGUAAUACGGGGGGGGCAAGCGUUGUUCGGAAUUAUUGGGCGUAAAGGGCGCGCAGGCGGCCAGGGAAGUCAAGGGUGAAAGCCCCCGGCUCAACCGGGGAGUUGCCAAUGAAACCACCUGGCUGGAGUGCUGGAGAGGAAAGCGGAAUUCCCAGUGUAGCGGUGAAAUGCGUAGAUAUUGGGAGGAACAUCUGUGGCGAAGGCGGCUUUCUGGACAGACACUGACGCUGAGGCGCGAAAGCCAGGGGAGCAAAC